UCCGUAGGCGGACUAUUAAGUCAGUGGUGAAAUCUUUCGGCUCAACCGGAAAACUGCCAUUGAAACUGAUAGUCUUGAAUAUGAUUGAAGUGGGCGGAAUAUGGCAUGUAGCGGUGAAAUGCUUAGAUAUGCCAUAGAACACCGAUAGCGAAGGCAGCUCACUAAGCCAUUAUUGACGCUAAGGGACGAAAGCGUGGGGAGCGAACAGGAUUAGAUACCCUGGUAGUCC
Molecule: ribosomal RNA, 229 nt
Filed under: uncultured bacterium
Lineage: Bacteria
Description: partial 16S ribosomal RNA
Rfam family: Bacterial small subunit ribosomal RNA
Source: RNAcentral